This 556-nucleotide long non-coding RNA is filed under the name Lathyrus oleraceus (garden pea). RNAcentral describes it as "Pisum sativum (pea) long non-coding RNA (PSAT_LNC000798)". The record is from RNAcentral. Lineage: Eukaryota; Viridiplantae; Streptophyta; Magnoliopsida; Fabales; Fabaceae.
UGCAGUUGUUAGAUGUUUAGGUCCUUACUAUUCGAUUGCAAGCGAUCAACCCUUAAUUAAUCUCCACGGUUGCAUGGCAGAAUGAGAUAAUGUAAAUUUGCAGAAUGAGAUAAUGAGUUGUAGAAACCUUGUCAACAAACUUUGGCAGAAUGCCAUGGCUCUUUUAGGAUUCAGGCAGGCCAUCUCAGUUUUUUUUUGGCGAUCUUAAUUAACUGUUUGCAGUUAUUAAAAGCCAUGGUUGAAGAUUGAUUGUUGAAUUUAUGAUGAAAAUGAUGGGGAAUUUGUGUUCUUUUUUCUUUAGAGAAAAGAUGAUGUACAUUGAUUUCUACAAAACAACUUGAAAUGGUAAGUUCAGCUUUGGUUACACUACCAAUUAAUCUUAUUUCAGUAAGUGGAGUUGCUUGCAUGUAAAGAUGGUAAAAAAAACUCAUUCACAGGUAAAACCCUUCAUGGACACUAAUUGUUUCCUUACUAGUAUAUAUAUAGAUGUGAUGGUACAUGUACCUGCCAGAAUUUGUAUCCAUUAAUCAUUAGAAAAAUGACUUAAAUAUCUUUU